This 432-nucleotide ribosomal RNA is filed under the name uncultured bacterium. RNAcentral's name for it is "partial 16S ribosomal RNA". It matches the Rfam family "Bacterial small subunit ribosomal RNA", at positions 29 to 507 of the family's 1533-position model. The record is from RNAcentral.
AACGAACGCUGGCGGCAUGCCUAACACAUGCAAGUCGAACGAGACCUUCGGGUCUAGUGGCGCACGGGUGCGUAACGCGUGGGAACCUGCCCUUAGGUUCGGAAUAACUCCCCGAAAGGGGUGCUAAUACCGGAUAAUGUCUUGGGACAAAGAUUUAUCGCCUUUGGAUGGGGCCGCGUUGGAUUAGCUAGUUGGUAGGGUAAAAGCCUACCAAGGCGACGAUCCAUAGCUGGUCUGAGAGGAUGAUCAGCCACACUGGGACUGAGACACGGCCCAGACUCCUACGGGAAGCAGCAGUGGGGAAUAUUGGACAAUGGGCGAAAGCCUGAUCCAGCAAUGCCGCGUGAGUGAUGAAGGCCUUAGGGUUGUAAAGCUCUUUUACCCGGGAUGAUAAUGACAGUACCGGGAGAAUAAGCUCCGGCUAACUCCGUG